RNAcentral lists this unclassified non-coding RNA (377 nucleotides) under plant metagenome. Its description in RNAcentral is "partial contains 5.8S ribosomal RNA, internal transcribed spacer 2, and large subunit ribosomal RNA". The stretch from base 1 to 104 matches the Rfam family "5.8S ribosomal RNA", at positions 51 to 154 of the family's 154-position model. The record is from RNAcentral.
AAAUGCGUUAAGUAAUGUGAAUUGCAGAAUUCAGUGAAUCAUCGAAUCUUUGAACGCACCUUGCGCUCCUUGGUAUUCCUUGGAGCAUGCCUGUUUGAGUAUCAUGAAAUCUUCAAAGUAAAUCUUUUGUUAACUCAAUUGGUUUCUACUUUGGUAUUGGAGGUCUUUGCAGCUUCACACCUGCUCCUCUUUGUUCAUUAGCUGGAUCUCAGUGUUAUGCUUGGUUCCACUCGGCGUGAUAAGUUAUCUAUCGCUGAGGACACUGUAAAAGGUGGCCAAGGUAAAUGCAGAUGAACCGCUUCUAAUAGUCCAUUGACUUGGACAAUACUUUUAUGAUCUGAUCUCAAAUCAGGUAGAACUACCCGCUGAACUUAAGC